Molecule: long non-coding RNA, 2969 nt
Organism: Columba livia (rock pigeon)
Lineage: Eukaryota; Metazoa; Chordata; Aves; Columbiformes; Columbidae
Exons: 4
Source: RefSeq, a predicted model, not a curated record
CAGCCCCACCAGGCUGGGAUUGGGUGACUCUGUGACCCUGCACUGCGGGUCCCAGCACCCCCAGGAUGUUCCACAGCCCACAGGAACUGCAGCUUGUCCUUUUCGGGCCGGUUUCUGAAAACCCCUGGCUCUUGUGCUGGGCUGCACCUCCCGUCCGGGUACCCCGGGCUGACAGCGGGGCCGCUCCGGUCCCUGCCGCGGGCUCUGCCCGCUCGGAGCAGCAAGGCCGGCGGUGGGGAGGGGUUCCCGGAGGGCAGAGCCCGUCCCGCGGGGCUGCGGGGACGUUUCUAGGCAGGCUCCGCGCUCAACAGCCCCGUUGCUACGGCUGCGGGGCCUUCCAGGCCGGACCCCGCGCGGCGCGGCCCCUGUCGCCAUGGGAACGGGCCCUUCCGGAGCGGGCGGCGAUCGGCACGGCCGAGCCAAAGAACAACAUCAGCCUGCUGCGUGAGAAGCUGCUGCGGGCAAAGGAAAUCAAGGCAAGAAAGAAGACCCCGAGGGAGAACCGCCAGAACCUCCUGUAUCCAAACCAGCGUGGUCGGCAGGACAAGGGCAGUGACCCUUCCCCUGUGCUCUGCAUUGGGGAGGCCACACCUGGAGUGUUGUGUUCAGUUCUGGGCCCCUCAGCUCAGGAAAGAGAUUGAAGUGCUGGAGCGGGUCCAGAGAAGAGCAACAAGACUGUGGGGAAGGGACUGAACACAAGACCCAUGGGGAGAGGCUGAGGGAGCUGGGCUUGUUUAGUCUGGAGAAGAGGAGGCUUAGAGCUGAGCUCAGCACUCUCUAGAACUACCUGAAGGGCAGUUCUAGCCAGGUGGGGAUUGGGCUCUUCUCCCAGGCAUCAGCAAUAGGACAAGGGGCCAUGGGCUUCAACUCUGCCAGGGGAAAUUGAGGCUGGAGAUUAGGAAGCAAUUCUUUGCAGAGAGAGUGGUCAGGAUUGGAAUGGCUGCCCAGGGAGGUGCUGGACUCGCCGGCCAUGGAGGGUUUUAAGCUGAGAUUGGACAUGGCGCUUAGUACCAUGAUCUAGUAAACGGACUGGAGUUGGACCAAGGGCUGGACUGGAUGAUCUCUGAGGGCUUUUCCAACCCAGUCCAUUCUGUGAUUCUGUAAUGCCGAGCUGGAAAGAGCAGCGUGGCUCCGGACAGGUGUGUGCCCCGCCACCCCCUCCCUGCCCCGCGCUGGGUCCCCCGGUGUCACCUCCAGCGUUUCCCUCUCCUCGCAGCGCUGAUCCCCCUCGACGAGCUCAGAGCUGAGCGGGAGCAGAGCAGCGGCCCGUUCCACAAGCAGCGCGUGGCCGAGCACUGCGCGGUGUUUCGUGACUUGUUCCGAGGGGCCACGUUCCCCCCGGGUCACCUUGAGGGUGGCGUACAGCCAGGCAGACGAGCACGCCGUGCCGGUCUGCUAUGGGAACAUGGUGACUCCGUCAGAGGAGUGGGGGGUGCGGGGCACAGCCUUGGCCCCACGGGAAGCCUCGGUGGUUUCCUCAGACGCUCCCGAUGGGCAUUGUCUGCCCCGGGGGGUUUUGUUUAGAAGGGUAUUUGCUCUGUGAUGAUCCAAACUUGUUUCUUGGACGUGAUAAAGACAGAGCGUUGCAGCAGGACGGCUGUCUGUCAGCAGGCUGAUGCUUCUGAAGGCUCUGGGGGCUCUCCGGUGGAGCUGGAUGACUUGGUGUCGCGGCCAUGCCUGGUCUGUGCUGGGUCCUGGCCGUGCCCGUGCCCGGUUCGUGUUCUUUGCCUUGGAAAUCAUGACCUGAUCUUAAUGGAACGUGUUGUUGCAGUGACAGACAUUCUGUUUUGUGGCUCAUUUAGGCUUCCAGUCCUCCCGCAGUGUCAUCCCAGGCAGAUAAAGGCUCCCUGCGGACUGUGCUGCUCACAAACCCAGAAGGACGUUGAAGGGACGCGCACUCGGAGCACCCGCGCUGGCUGGAGACGAACAUCCCAGGCAACGACAUGCAGUGGGGUAAGGAGAUCUGCCGCCACCUGCCCCCCUUCCCGCCAUGGGCACUGGCUGCCAUCGCUUCAUCUUCUGCCCUUCAAGCCAGAACCGCCCGUCGACUCCAGCGAGGAUGUUGGCGCAGGCCCUGGUCACUGGGGCUGUUGCUGGGCGGUUCACGCUCUCUUGGCCAGGCUGUUCUUGCGUGUUCUGGUGACAAGGUCGUGACUGCUGGAGGAGAGCAAGUUCCUUGGAGUCUGCAGGGUUGCUCAGGGCUGCUCUGAGUUUGUGUGUCGCCUGAAGCCGCAAUCCCAGCCCUGCAAGCACUGUGCUGUCCUGUUGCUUUCAACCAGGCCGGUAAGAAAGUGGGUUUUUUCCUGCCUGGAGCAGGAAUGUGCAGAGGGCUGGGGAAGCUGGGAGGAGUUUCAAUGUGCCUUCCUUUUCCACCUCUGUUUUACAGACUCGGGGGUGCUGUGGGGAAGUAGUUGCCAGCCAGAGUGCUGCAAGAAACGGGAAUCACCUCAGCUCUUGUGCUUGUGUCUUGUUUCCAGCCACAGGCUCGAGAUGUGAACCUUGCGCACGUGUGACUUGUACAGAAAGCACGAGGAUGCCGUGACCCCGGCAGGGCUGCCGUUCCAACAGUGUUUCGAUGUUACAUUCUAUGGAAACGCCGUAGAACAAAUUGUGGCUGCUGUUGUUUAUCUGCUACAAUUUCUGUAGCAUUUUUAGACAAUUUUCGAAGUCGACUCUCGGCAGGAAUCCAGGAUCUUGUGCUGACCUGCAUGUUGCUCCUUCUGCACGUUGUCCUCGAUUAAUGCUGACCUGAGGGAUUUAUCUGCAGCACAACACGGUGUAGAUACUAAAUCAGGUCUGGAAGCCAUCUCAGGAGAUGGAUUAGCUCGUCAUUGCACCAAAAAUAGAAGGAAUGCUACUUCCUUGUUUCCUGUGCUUAUGUAAUAAGGCACAUACGUGGUAGUAACAGAGCCCGUGGCCCCUGUACUUCAUGUGCUUAUAACAGAGUAAAAAUAAAUUGUUAAAAUGAA